RNAcentral lists this non-coding RNA (168 nucleotides) under Metabacillus harenarius. Its description in RNAcentral is "Bacillus weihaiensis GlcN6P sequence". It matches the Rfam family "glmS glucosamine-6-phosphate activated ribozyme aptamer". Rfam says of the family: This entry contains a glucosamine-6-phosphate activated ribozyme that is found in the mRNA for GlmS. Lineage: Bacteria; Bacillati; Bacillota; Bacilli; Caryophanales; Bacillaceae. The record is from Rfam by way of RNAcentral.
AAAGUAUAUAAAGCGCCUGGACUAAGUGCUGGAAAAAAGACUUAGUUGACGAGGAUGGAGGUUAUCGAAUUUUCGGCGGAUGCCUCCCGGUUGAAUAGGUUACAACCGAAAGCUUCUCUUCAAACCAAAGAGGUAACUUUUUGAACAAAGAGAGAAGUAUAGCCUUCC